Molecule: unclassified non-coding RNA, 240 nt
Filed under: soil metagenome
Description: partial contains 5.8S ribosomal RNA, internal transcribed spacer 2, and large subunit ribosomal RNA
Source: RNAcentral
AACAUCGCGCACCUGCGGGAACCUGCGGAGGGAUCAUUACAGAGUUGCAAAACUCCCUAAACCAUUGUGAACGUUACCUAAACCGUUGCUUCGGCGGGCGGCCCGGGUCCUUCCCGGCGCCCCUCGGCCCUCGCGGGCGCCCGCCGGAGGUAACCCAAACUAUUGCAUUGUAUGGCCUCUCUGAGUCUUCUGUACUGAAUAAGUCAAAACUUUCAGCAACGGAUCUCAGAUCGGAAGAGC